CGGGGUGAGUAACGCGUGGAUAACCUGCCUCACACUGGGGGAUAACAGUUAGAAAUGGCUGCUAAUACCGCAUAAGCGCACAGUACCGCAUGGUACGGCGUGAAAAACCCAGGUGGUGUGAGAUGGAUCCGCGUCUGAUUAGCCAGUUGGUAAGGUAACGGCUUACCAAGGCGACGAUCAGUAGCCGACCUGAGAGGGUGAUCGGCCACAUUGGAACUGAGACACGGUCCAA
This 232-nucleotide ribosomal RNA is filed under the name uncultured bacterium. Its description in RNAcentral is "partial 16S ribosomal RNA". It matches the Rfam family "Bacterial small subunit ribosomal RNA", at positions 104 to 334 of the family's 1533-position model. The record is from RNAcentral.